AGAGUUUGAUCAUGGCUCAGGACGAACGCUGGCGGCACGCUUAACACAUGCAAGUCGAACGAGAGAAGAGGAGCUUGCUUUUCUGAUCUAGUGGCGGACGGGUGAGUAACACGUGAGCAAUCUGCCUUUCAGAGGGGGAUACCGAUUGGAAACGAUCGUUAAUACCGCAUAACAUAAUUGAACCGCAUGAUUUGAUUAUCAAAGAUUUAUCGCUGAAAGAUGAGCUCGCGUCUGAUUAGCUAGCUGGUAAGGUAACGGCUUACCAAGGCGACGAUCAGUAGCCGGACUGAGAGGUUGAUCGGCCACAUUGGGACUGAGACACGGCCCAGACUCCUACGGGAGGCAGCAGUGGGGAAUAUUGCACAAUGGAGGAAACUCUGAUGCAGCGAUGCCGCGUGAGGGAAGAAGGCUUUAGGAUUGUAAACCUCUGUCUUCAGGGACGAAAAAAGACGGUACCUGAGGAGGAAGCUCCGGCUAACUACGUGCCAGCAGCCGCGGUAAUACGUAGGGAGCGAGCGUUGUCCGGAAUUACUGGGUGUAAAGGGAGCGUAGGCGGGAUCGCAAGUCAGAUGUGAAAACUAUGGGCUUAACCCAUAAACUGCAUUUGAAACUGUGGUUCUUGAGUGAAGUAGAGGUAAGCGGAAUUCCUAGUGUAGCGGUGAAAUGCGUAGAUAUUAGGAGGAACAUCAGUGGCGAAGGCGGCUUACUGGGCUUUAACUGACGCUGAGGCUCGAAAGCGUGGGGAGCAAACAGGAUUAGAUACCCUGGUAGUCCACGCCGUAAACGAUGAUUACUAGGUGUGGGGGGACUGACCCCUUCCGUGCCGCAGCAAACGCAAUAAGUAAUCCACCUGGGGAGUACGACCGCAAGGUUGAAACUCAAAGGAAUUGACGGGGGCCCGCACAAGCAGUGGAGUAUGUGGAUUAAUUCGAAGCAACGCGAAGAACCUUACCAGGUCUUGACAUCGUAUGCAUAGCUCAGAGAUGAGUGAAAUCUCUUCGGAGACAUAUAGACAGGUGGUGCAUGGUUGUCGUCAGCUCGUGUCGUGAGAUGUUGGGUUAAGUCCCGCAACGAGCGCAACCCUUACUGUUAGUUGCUACGCAAGAGCACUCUAGCAGGACUGCCGUUGACAAAACGGAGGAAGGUGGGGAUGACGUCAAAUCAUCAUGCCCCUUAUGACCUGGGCCUCACACGUACUACAAUGGCUGUCAACAGAGGGAAGCAAAGCCGCGAGGUGGAGCGAACCCCUAAAAGCAGUCUUAGUUCGGAUUGUAGGCUGCAACCCGCCUACAUGAAGUCGGAAUUGCUAGUAAUCGCAGAUCAGCAUGCUGCGGUGAAUACGUUCCCGGGCCUUGUACACACCGCCCGUCACGCCAUGGGAGUCGGUAACACCCGAAGCCUGUAGUCUAACCGCAAGGAGGACGCAGUCGAAGGUGGGAUUGAUGACUGGGGUGAAGUCGUAACAAGGUA
Molecule: ribosomal RNA, 1470 nt
Filed under: metagenome
Description: bacterial SSU rRNA
Rfam family: Bacterial small subunit ribosomal RNA
Source: RNAcentral